GACGAACGCUGGCGGCGUGCUUAACACAUGCAAGUCGAGCGGUAAGGCCCUUUCGGGGGUACACGAGCGGCGAACGGGUGAGUAACACGUGGGUGACCUGCCCUCAGCUCUGGGAUAAGCCCGGGAAACUGGGUCUAAUACCGGAUAUGACCCUAUGGCGCAUGUUGUGGGGUGGAAAGCCUUGUGCGGCUAGGGAUGGGCCCGCGGCCUAUCAGCUUGUUGGUGGGGUGAUGGCCUACCAAGGCGACGACGGGUAGCCGGCCUGAGAGGGCGACCGGCCACACUGGGACUGAGACACGGCCCAGACUCCUACGGGAGGCAGCAGUGGGGAAUCUUGCGCAAUGGGCGAAAGCCUGACGCAGCGACGCCGCGUGAGGGAUGACGGCCU
This 388-nucleotide ribosomal RNA is filed under the name uncultured bacterium. RNAcentral describes it as "bacterial SSU rRNA". It matches the Rfam family "Bacterial small subunit ribosomal RNA", at positions 28 to 417 of the family's 1533-position model. The record is from RNAcentral.